AAAUAAUUUUCACUCACAGUUUACUUACUAAACUUAACUAAAAUUAAUAAAUCUCAUGAAUUACCUGUAAUUCGAAGAAACUCUUGUCUCAACAUUGUAAGGACUCCUAAAUGUUAAAAUUCCUUAAUACCUUUGGGAAACAGAGAUCGUCGCACAUUGAAUAAGAUCUUACAAUUUACGAUUAAAAAUACGAUAUAAAAAAGGAGAAGCAGAAUAGAGCCGUUACUUUGGUGCUUGUGAUGAAAAUAUACCAUAGUCUAAUAGUAGCAGCAGUCAACAGAUCCUGUGAUUAAGUUUUAGU
Long non-coding RNA from Trichoplusia ni (cabbage looper), 301 nucleotides. RefSeq lists it as uncharacterized. The record is from RefSeq and is a predicted model, not a curated record. The transcript is spliced from 3 exons. NCBI's taxonomy places the organism in Eukaryota, Metazoa, Arthropoda, Insecta, Lepidoptera, Noctuidae.